Molecule: long non-coding RNA, 85 nt
Filed under: Macaca mulatta (Rhesus monkey)
Lineage: Eukaryota; Metazoa; Chordata; Mammalia; Primates; Cercopithecidae
Description: lncRNA (ENSMMUG00000042860.2)
Source: RNAcentral
CAGGCGCAGUGAACUGUAAAGGAACCUGAAGUCAGUCUGCUCUGAUGAGGAGAAGCAACAUGCACCCUCUGCCUUCUGGAAAAUG